This 582-nucleotide ribosomal RNA is filed under the name bacterium S7-28. RNAcentral describes it as "bacterial SSU rRNA". It matches the Rfam family "Bacterial small subunit ribosomal RNA", at positions 60 to 639 of the family's 1533-position model. The record is from RNAcentral.
MGUCGAACGGUAACAGGCGCAAGGUGCUGACGAGUGGCGAACGGGUGAGUAAUGCAUCGGAACGUGCCCAGUCGUGGGGGAUAACGSAGCGAAAGCUGCCUUAAUACCGCCAUACGAUCUAUGGAUGAAAGCGGGGGACCGUAAGGCCUCGCGCGAUUGGAGCGGCCGAUGUCAGAUUAGGUAGUUGGUGGGGUAAAGGCUCACCAAGCCGACGAUCUGUAGCUGGUCUGAGAGGACGACCAGCCACACUGGGACUGAGACACGGCCCAGACUUCUACGGGAGGCAGCAGUUGGGAAUUUUGGACAAUGGGGGCAACCCUGAUCCAGCAAUGCCGCGUGCAGGAAGAAGGCCUUCGGGUUGUAAACUGCUUUUGUACGGAACGAAACGGCUCUGGUUAAUACCCGGGGCUAAUGACGGUACCGUAAGAAUAAGCACCGGCUAACUACGKGCCAGCAGCCGCGGUAAUACGUAGGGUGCAAGCGUUAAUCGGRAUUACUGGGCGUAAAGCGUGCVCAGGCGGUGCUGUAAGACAGGCGUUAAAUCCCCGGGCUUAACCUSGGGAUGGCGCUUKUGACUNCAGU